AUGGAUGGCACCAUCUGCUAUGACCCCAAUAGAUGCGCCUUCUCGCCGAGCCUGUCUCAAACCGUGCUGCUCGAGGUGAUCCGCAGUGGCGCUCGGCUAUGGAAGACGAGUUUGCAGCGCUUCGCCACAACUCAACGUGGUCGCUGGUUCCUCACCCACCUGUCGACAAGUAUAAAGCUCACGUCGUUGCCAAGGGUUUUACGCAUUAAAACCCAGUGUUUCAUGCACACACUAAACACAUUGAAGUGGAUUUCCACUUUGUUUGGGAGAAGGUUUGCACUUGGAGCUUUGGAAGUCUGUUUUGUGUCGUCAGCAGAUCAGGUCGCUGACGUCUUCACCAAGCCAUCAACGAAGCAGAUGUUGGAACGUUUUAGAGCCAACCUCAACCUUGUUCAUAGUGGCUGA
This 405-nucleotide ribosomal RNA is filed under the name Triticum aestivum (bread wheat). RNAcentral's name for it is "partial small subunit ribosomal RNA". The record is from RNAcentral. Lineage: Eukaryota; Viridiplantae; Streptophyta; Magnoliopsida; Poales; Poaceae.